GGGAGCGUGGCCAAGUGGCUAAGGCGUCCGCCUGCAGAGCGGAUAUUCGGGGGUUCAAAUCCCUCCGCUCCCU
This 73-nucleotide transfer RNA is filed under the name Candidatus Woesearchaeota archaeon. RNAcentral's name for it is "tRNA-Cys". It matches the Rfam family "tRNA". From Rfam's summary of the family: Transfer RNA (tRNA) molecules are approximately 80 nucleotides in length. Their secondary structure includes four short double-helical elements and three loops (D, anti-codon, and T loops). The record is from RNAcentral. Lineage: Archaea; Nanobdellati; Candidatus Woesearchaeota.